CUUCCGGUUGACAUCUUUGUUUACAUUGAUGAACAGCCGCAUCUUGUGACGCGAGUUAAAUGCAUGGGUGUAAUAUAAGAACGGUUAGCUAAACGUCCUUGUCUAAAGAGCGAAAUAUGUUUGCCACAAGAGUGUUUCAGGAGUGCGGAAAUGUCUUUAAAACGGCGAUAAUCUCCUGUACCUUGCCGAAGCUGCCUUUCCCGAGCAUCUUGUGCAGGACGAAGUCAUCAACGGUGAAUUUGGGUUGGUGCUCCUUCCUGGGAACAGCGUACAGAGGCUCUUCUCUCGGCGCCUCUUCUGUCAGCGCCUCAGUAAUCGACCUGCCGACGUCAGUCGGUCCAUCCCACGACACACCCUGAUAGUCUUCAGGUGUAGCUGUGGCUGGUACAGCCGUUACUAACCCAGACGGAGUUCGGACCACGCCCGGCUGGCCAACACCUACUGGACCUUCUCGACCAAUGAUUUCACUUUCUCUGGUGCUUCUGGCCUGACAAAAGACAAACUCUUUGCAGACGGAGCAGAAGGUCGGUUGAGGGAAGAACGUGGCGCUGAACUCGUGACAUUUGACAACGUGAACUUUAGCCUGUUUGAUGGCCCCUCGCCGCUGAUGGAGGGCGAACAGACCCUCCCUCUCUGGUUCGGACUCUGGGUCUCCCUCAGUAUGACCUGCAGCAUCUGAAACACAUCAUACAACCUUUUAUUGAAAGAACAAUACAUGAAAAAGACAAAUUGUUGAUGAGCGAUUCCUUAAUGCCGGAAAGAUGUCACACCUAGAGUUCGCACAUUUUGUGGCUCAAGAAGUGUUUCUACAUCAGUUUCAUUAUGUCUCUAUCAGCUCAUAUGGAUGAGUCAGUCUUCUCUCUAAUUGUUGCAGUUUAACAGAGACUGUGUCAAGUAUAUCAUUGGAACUUUUGUACUAAGCACCUUCCCCAAAAUGUUAUACUAUUCCUUUUAAAAAAAAAAAAAAAAAAGAAGCAUAAUAUCUGUUUUGAAAGGCGUCUGUGUACUGCUGAAUCAUUUGGUUAGAACACAGGAAGACAAUUUAUUAUGUGUUUGUAUGUAGUUCAGGAGGAAGUUCCACAGAUUAAAUUGUCACAGUGCACCAGACGCUAUGCCACCUGUUGUUUCCAACUUCUAUAUAUAGAAACAUGAGAUGGCUUCUUCCUUUUUGGUUCUCAGUGACUUCUCAGGCCUUGGCAUGGUGUUAAUUUCAGGAAAGCCCCAGUGAAAGGGAUCUAACACAAAGCACACGCACAUCCACAAGGCAUUGUGUGUCAUCCACAAGGCAUUGUGUGUCAUUAAAACUAACAAGACAAGACUAAUGCAAACAAUUUGGAUUGAUGGUCAGUAUUUUAUGAUCACAUUCACUAUAUGUAUACAGUAUUGGUUGUUUUCAAACCUAAAAAUCUAAAAUAUUCCCUCAAAAAAUCACCGAACUGUCACAGUUCACAAAGUAAAAAGUACUGUAAAAAAGUUUUGCUGUUCUCUACCUUGACUUAGUAUAAUAGUGAUUCAACAUACUGUAUAUUUUUACAUUAAAAUAACUGACUUUUGUCAAAGAAUAUUGUACGGUGCACAGGAAAUGACUCACUUCCUUGUUUCCGGUGGCAGCAAUAAUUAGUUUUGAAUAAAUUAAAAAAAGUUAUGCAAAUGAUUUCUGUGACAGUGCUAAGCAUUUAAGGUGAAGAAAAUGUUUCCUUUUUGAGUAGACUUUACAACCUUGUAACUUCAGAUCAUAAAGAUUACCAUCUCUAAUUUUCACUUUCAGUUUAACAGAUUUUGUUUUGGGCAAUUCAUUUGGUCUCAGUUUCAGUUAAGGACUUUUUUUUUUUUUUUUCUUCAUUUGAUGGCAAAACCCUAUGUGUUUCAGCAUAUUGUAGUUGUUCAUGGAGGAGGAGCAGGUGGAGUAACACAGGUUUGAACCACUCACCACUCUUCUCCAGAUAGUAUCUGGCCUCCAUCAGCAGGCGGCCCUGUGGCUUCAGCUCCAGCUGAGACAAAAAAGAAAAACAGAGAAAUAAUUUACCAAAGAAAUUUGUGAGAAAAAAACAUUGAGAAUGAAAAGGGAAGGAUGUGGAUUCAAAAUAUACCCAAACAUAUUUGAUUUGAUCGUUUGAUUCUUAGUUUGGUAUAAGAGGCAGUUGGCAUGAAGCCUCUGGUGUCACCCAAAGCAAAGUCUUUCCAGGAAAAGAAAUUAUCUGGUGCACAAGAAGAGAACAGUGUCUAAUUUCUGACUAGGUAAAAAUAACUUGAGGAAGAACUAGGUAAUUGGCAUGAGCAGUGGUGGCCUCCAUAACAUGGAUAUAAUCUAGAUGUAACUCAGGCUAAAGUGGGAUGAAAAAUAUGACAAGAUGUAAAACUGAACAUCUGUAUGGGGGUCCGGGGCCCUCCUUCUCCAAAUAUGUAUUUUUGCUCUCAUAAUGGUGUACAAUAGAGAGAUGACAAGAAAUGAAGGCAUGUAAAUAAAGCCUUCUGCUGUUUUAUGGGACGGAAACAGAGGGAGAUGCAUGUAGG
Long non-coding RNA from Perca flavescens (yellow perch), 2514 nucleotides. RefSeq lists it as uncharacterized. The transcript has 4 exons. The record is from RefSeq and is a predicted model, not a curated record. NCBI's taxonomy places the organism in Eukaryota, Metazoa, Chordata, Actinopteri, Perciformes, Percidae.